This 313-nucleotide long non-coding RNA is filed under the name Brassica napus (rape). RNAcentral's name for it is "long non-coding RNA (BNAP_LNC005391)". The record is from RNAcentral. Lineage: Eukaryota; Viridiplantae; Streptophyta; Magnoliopsida; Brassicales; Brassicaceae.
AUUGAGAGGAGGGAUGUGGAGAUGUACAAAGAGUCUUCACUUGAUGAGUUAUAAUGGAGCAUUGAAGUGCCAUUGUUGUAGUCGUAGGAGUUACACCGGUGAAAUUGGGUAGACGAACAGAUUUGGAGUCGCUGGAGACGUCUGAGGCGAGUAGGCUAAAGAAAAGGUAGCUAUAAGUUAUACAAUGGACUCACUAUUUUGAUGGAUUUGGAUAGUUCGAGACCCAUCAUCUAAACAUUUGCGAUGACAUGACAAUUUGAUUGGUGGGAAAUAUUUUGUCCUAUGUGGCACUCCUAAGAAGCUUCAAAAUUAG